AGGAUUCCCCUAGUAACUGCGAGUGAAGCGGGAAAAGCUCAAAUUUGAAAUCUGGCGGUUUUUAACUGUCCGAGUUGUAAUCUAGAGAAGUGUUACCUGUGCUGGACCGUGUACAAGUCUCCUGGAAUGGAGCAUCAUAGAGGGUGAGAAUCCCGUCUUUGACAUGGACUACCAGUACAUUAUGGUGUGCUCUCAAAGAGUCGAGUUGUUUGGGAAUGCAGCUCAAAAUGGGUGGUAAAUGCCAUCUAAAGCUAAAUAUUGGCGAGAGACCGAUAGCGAACAAGUACCGUGAGGGAAAGAUGAAAAGAACUUUGGAAAGAGAGUUAAACAGUACGUGAAAUUGCUGAAAGGGAAACGCUUGAAGUCAGUCGCGUUGGCUAGAAAUCAGCCUUGCUUUUGCUUGGUGUACUUUCUGGUUGACGGGUCAGCAUCAAUUUUGACCAUUGGAUAAAGUCUUUGGGAAUGUGGCAUCCUUGGAUGUGUUAUAGCCCAUUGUCGCAUACAGUGGUUGGGAUUGAGGAACUCAGCACGCCUGCAAGGGCCGGGUUUNGACCACGUUCGUGCUUAGGAUGCUGGCAUAAUGGCUUUAAUCGACCCGUCUUGAAACACGGACCAAGGAGUCUAACAUGCCUGCGAGUGUUUGAGUGGAAAACUCAUGCGCGCAAUGAAAGUGAAAGUUGAGAUCCCUGAAAGGGGAGCAUUGACGCCCGGACCAGACCUUUUGUGACGGAUCCGCGGUAGAGCAUGUAUGUUGGGACCCGAAAGAUGGUGAACUAUGCCUGAAUAGGGUGAAGCCAGAGGAAACUCUGGUGGAGGCUCGUAGCGAUUCUGACGUGCAAAUCGAUCGUCAAAUUUGGGUAUAGGGGCGAAAGACUAAUCGAACCAUCUAGUAGCUGGUUCCUGCGA
This 906-nucleotide ribosomal RNA is filed under the name Inocybe sp. Its description in RNAcentral is "partial large subunit ribosomal RNA". It matches the Rfam family "Eukaryotic large subunit ribosomal RNA", at positions 71 to 963 of the family's 3401-position model. The record is from RNAcentral. Lineage: Eukaryota; Fungi; Basidiomycota; Agaricomycetes; Agaricales; Inocybaceae.